Molecule: long non-coding RNA, 1966 nt
Organism: Cyprinus carpio carpio
Lineage: Eukaryota; Metazoa; Chordata; Actinopteri; Cypriniformes; Cyprinidae
Source: Ensembl
UUUAUUUCUUGCAUUAUUCAUAGUCUUAACACUUCCGGCUGACAUUUUUCUCUCGUCUUCCUUUUCGCACCUUAAUUAGGGAUGCUGGGAGAACUAUACAGGAAAGAAGGCCAUCAGUUGGAUUUGCUGAUCUAGCAUUUCUCCUGCUCCGACUGAUUGUCUGCCAUCUAGCUGAUGUAAGACCAGCCCGUGGUGUGACAUACUGAAACUUCCAGGCAGUAAGAUGGAGUUUUGGAGGAUCGUAAGACCACUGGUGUAGGAUAUGAGACACUGCUUUGGGCAGUAGCAAAGAUGACAGAACGCUCUCAAGAAUGACUCACAGAUGGAGAAAGCACAAGAAAACGAGGGUUUGGAAAGGGAAAGCCAGCGAACAGCGUGAGCAGUGCAGCGCUGGAGCAUGUGUGUCUUGUUCUUCCCCAAUUAUCCUGUGUUUAAAAGCCCUAGUCCUUUCAGUCAGUGUUCUGAACGUCCUUCCAUGUGUUCCUAUGUUCCCCUUGUGAUUGGAUUAUUCAAGACCGUGAUAUUGAGGGCCACACCAGACUGUUCCUGGUCCUGGCAAGCCUCACUAACUAUCCGCGAUGCACUGUGCGUUCUACGAUGCCAGUUUGAACAUCACAUGCAGAGCGCCGUCGUCCGAGGAUGGUCCUUGAGCAAAUUUCGCCACCUUCGUGGAGUAGACACUGGCGAGAAAUGGAUCUCUGUUGCCCGCCGGUUCCCAGGAGUUUAUCACCAGUGCCAUUCUUGACCCAGAGCUCAGCCCACCAUCUCCCCGCAGCACGGAGCAUCAGCCCGAGCCCACUGAUGACCGAUUCCCGCCACGAUCUGCAAGCCAGAGCAAAGCCAAGCGACUGAGCAGAGGAUCGCCCCGGAAGUUGAGCCCAACCUGUCAGACCAGGUUCGAGAGCCGGCUACAGAGCCCAACAUGAGGGAGAAAUCCGCAGAUGGUGUGAGCGCAGAGAGGAGCUGAGGGUGAGCUGAGUAUGGUGUGGCGUUGGUGCCAAAACGAAGAGGGGAGGGCUCCAGCCCCUGAAUCCAAUUCAGAGGGCCCUCCAGUGCCCACUCCUCGAAAAUACCUGCCCUCCCACCUGCUCCAGUCUCUUCCACUGCUGUCGUCUGGCUGCCCUCUGCUCGCCCUCAGCCCACCCUCAUUAUGGUGCGAGCCCCGCGGGACUGCCAUCCUCCAGCGUCACCCUGGUCGGAGUCUUCCUCACCUACGCCUCCGAGGCCCGUACUCCACCUUGGCCCGUAGACCUAGCGGCUCCACCUCGGCUCCUAGCUCCCUCACCUCCACCAUCACCCGUCGAUCCAUCAGCUCCACAGAGCUCCCUCAUCCCCCCAGCUCCGCCUUGGUCGGGUGUCGCCCUGCCAUUGCCUCUGGACUCCUCUCCUCUGGUUGCGCCUCAUCGCUCUGUCCCACCGGCUCUAUUGGGCUCCUUCCUCCCACAAGCUCCACCUUGGUUCUCUGUCGCUCCGGCUACGCCAUGGAUCUCUGGAUCUUCGCCUUCGCCUUGGUCACCAGAGCCCUCGGCUCCACCCUGCCCCCCCCCCCCCCCUGGCUCGUUGGCUCUCCAUCUCAGGCUCCUCUUCCACCUGCUCCACCGCCAUUGGUCGGCCCCCUCCUCCAUGGCUCCUCCCACCGUCGGCUCCACCGUGGGCCACUGUUAUGGCUGUGGCCUGGGUCUUGUUGUGCUCCUCCUGCUCUGGGUCCCUCCUGUCUCCUCCCUCCUUCGUCGCCCCCCGGUCUCUGUCUGCCGGCCUACUCUUGGAUAUCCGUCCUCCUCCAGAACCUCCCAAGUUCCCACCCACGCCUCCCUCUGUUGUUGCUACGGUGCAAGGACGCACCUUCCUUGCUCCCUGUGACCCAGUUUCUGUCUCCCGUUGAUUGUGUUAAUUUGAUUCCAGGUGUGUCUAGUUCUUCCCAAAUUAUCCUGAGUUUAAAAGCCCUAGUCCUUUCAGUCAGUGUUUG